Molecule: ribosomal RNA, 198 nt
Filed under: uncultured bacterium
Lineage: Bacteria
Description: partial 16S ribosomal RNA
Rfam family: Bacterial small subunit ribosomal RNA
Source: RNAcentral
ACGCUCGACACCUACGGGGGGCAGCAGUGGGGAAUAUUGCACAAUGGGGGAAACCCUGAUGCAGCGAUGCCGCGUGAAGGAAGAAGUAUCUCGGUAUGUAAACUUCUAUCAGCAGGGAAGAAAAUGACGGUACCUGACUAAGAAGCCCCGGCUAACUACGUGCCAGCAGCCGCGGUAAUCUGAGCGGGCUGGCAAGGC